RNA transcript from Brienomyrus brachyistius, 3741 nucleotides. It is a transcript of the gene named docking protein 5-like, with no coding region annotated. The transcript has 10 exons. NCBI's taxonomy places the organism in Eukaryota, Metazoa, Chordata, Actinopteri, Osteoglossiformes, Mormyridae. The record is from RefSeq and is a predicted model, not a curated record.
GAUUGGUCCUGGUAGACAUUCAGAUGCCGCGCCUGGGCUCUCUCUCACCCACACUCAGCCUUUCCCCCUUACUAUGGGCUUUUACAUAUGUCCGAGACCAUUGUGAUCGAGCAUCUGCUGAGUUUGCCAUCUGGAUCAGAGUGCUUAGUCCCCACUAGGAGAGGAGUGGAGACACAAUCGAGGCCCCGCUUCUUCCUGGGACAGGAGGGCAUCAAACAAUGGCCGCAAAUUUUAAUGACAUUGUGAAACAGGGAUAUGUAAGGAUUCAGAGCAGACACUUUCGGAUCUACCAGAGAUGCUGGCUGGUGUUAAGGAGAGCAUCCAGCAAAGGCCCAAGACGGCUGGAGAAGUUCCUGGAUGAACGAGCAGCACGCUUCCACUGCUAUCACAAGGUAACAGAGCUGAAUAAUGUGAAGCAUGUUGAAAGAGUUCCAAAGGGAACAAAGAAGCAUGCAGUUAUUGUGACGUUCAAGGACAACUCAUCAAAAACGUUUGCUUGUGAGUCAGAGCUGGAAGCCAAUGAAUGGUGCAAAGCUCUGUACACAGAGUGUUUUGAGAGUAAGAUGAAUGACUUUAACUUAGUGGAGCCCGACUUGUUGGCCACUGGAGUAUAUAGAGGUGGAAGCGGGGAAUUCCACGUGUUUUUAAUGCCUAGUCGAAACCUGGAUUUCCACGGGGAGUGCGUCCUUCAGAUCACCGCAGAGACCAUCUCCCUGUGGGAUGUGUUUGAGCCCCACCUCAAGAUAGUAUCUUGGCCUCUGACUGGCCUCCGUCGUUAUGGCCAGGGACAGACGUGGUUUUCCAUCGAGGCCGGCAGGAUGUGCGAAACAGGCGAGGGCCUCUUCACCUUCCAGACCCGGGAGGGAGAGGCGAUAUACAGCAGGCUGCAUGCCGCGGUGCUGGCCGCCGCCGAACAGUGCGACUGGCUGAGCACCAUGCCUGCAGGCGAAGGGAUCUCGGGUGAGGCUGUCUCAGCGCCUGUGAACCUGGCUAAGUUUCUGCCGCUGAGCAAAUUCUGGCCGCGAGUCACUCGGCAGAGCAACAUGCGGCCAGCGGGGCACUUCAAUGUCAGCUAACACUAAUUCGGGAUAUCAGUACUGAAUAACAAUAUCACAUCCUCAGGUAAUACAAAAACCAUUUAACUUGCUAAAAGCCCGUUCCCUUUCGAGCUUUUGAUAUAAAGAGAACCCACAGCUGCAGAAAUGGACAAAUGGAAGCGCAAAGUUGGAAGAGGCUCACUGAUGGACCGCAACACUGAUGAAAAAUGUGGAUUAAAGCUGCCAAAACUUCACUGUCUUUAGCUUUCCAGUAUCACUGUUAUAUUCCCUGCUAAUUUUAUUAAGACCCCAGUAAGAGAGCUCUAUUCUUUUAUAAGGACAUGGACAUGAAGGUAGUUUUUACCCAUCAUUUGAAAAAAAGAAAACAAAAAUGACAUCCUAUUUUUAACUUUUGCUUUAUUUUUUGUUGGUUAUUUUGUUUCCUUUUAAACUGAUGCAGGUGACUUGCACUAUUUAUUUUCAUGUUUUAGAAAAAGGGAAGCACUAUGACUCGGGACUGUAUGCAUAUAUACUAACUGAUAAACAAAAUGAGAAGAAAAGCAAAUUAUGUUAUUCAAGCAGACUAUGUACAGUUGAGAGUCCUGGACCUACUUAAAAAAAAGAAAAAAAAAUCAUAGAUAAAAUGAAAAAAAGUAGUUGUUUCCUUUACAUUAGAUAAAUUAUGUUAGAAUUUUCCUCUGGGUAAUGUGAACUGAAUUGAAUGUAAUUGCCUUAUUGUCUCUCCUAAUGAGUGGAACUGAAAUCAUAUGUUUGACUGACUAAAAGAGAUAUUAUCAAGAAAUACAAAUCACACUGUCCCUGAGACUUAUACAUGUAUUUUUGUAAUGAAUUAUUUGUUUUAAUGCAAAUUUUUUUAUGUGCAAUACCUUGUUGCAAAAUUAUAUAUUGCAAUCCUAUAAUAAUCAAUUUGGCCAGCACAAGGUCUUAAAUUAUGUUUGUUUGACUAAAAGAUUAGUCAUUACUCUUUAAAAAAAAUGGUAACACUAUACUUGACAGGGUACAACUGAUACAGUAGUACACUAUUACUUAUGUAUUAAUUAACCAUAAACUAAGUCUUAGUUACAUACUGAUCUCGUGUUAAUUCAUCAUUAAUGAAUCAUGAUGCAUGUUGUGUCUUAAACAACUAUAUUUGUUACUAUAUCUGUUAAUUCUGUAAACCUGUAAACUACUCAAACAACAACUCAUGAACACAAGUUAAAUACCAAUCUCAUAUUUGUUAAUGAAUUAAUUAAUCAUGAUGCAUCUUUCAUACUAAGCAGUUACUAUAUUUACUAUUUCUGUUAAUUCUGUAAACCUGUGAACUACUGAAGGAACCACUGAAGUAACAAGCAGAAAUGCACCGAUUGCAAUUUUCUUAGCUGAUUCGAAUUUCCGAUUUUUACCGACUCCAGUUGUCAUUCUAGAACUAUAAUUGCCAGCAUAUACAAACAAAAAUCAACUUUUCUUCAAUGCAAAAUUUUAUUUUCAUAAUAGAAAAUAAAAAUGUUAAACUUUACCCAAACUGCACUAAGUUACUGUACAGGAUCUUUUCUCACUUAACUGUCAAAAUGAAGUGCUCUGUGACCUGAAAGAGGUACAAAUAACAAUUAACUGAAAAUGAGCUUCUGUGCUCCCAACUUUAUCUGACAUAAGAGUAGGUGCAACAGAUUUAAAUAACAAAUGUCAUUUUCCAGUAUGUUUAAAUUCACUAGAUAACACGAAACUGACCUUUUUCUCUUUUUUCACUCGACUUAAAAAAGCACACAGUUGUAUUUGAAGGUUUGUAACCUAAGUGUAAUAUUCUACUCCAAAAAACAGGUGCAGAGUAAUAUUAUUAAUACCAGCGUCGCAUGUUACGCACAAACAGUUCUCACAUCGUUAGUAAGCUAGAUUAAGAUCAGGGUUUUUCAUACCUUCACACUGCACGGGCAUUAUAGCGCAGGCGGUUAAAGUUUCACCAAAAAAAAAUUACUCUGUCAUAGGAAAAAAAUCCUUAGUUGGCUUUGCAAUGUUAAUGGUUAUUUAUCUUCAAGAUUAUCUAGUAAAUGUUUGAUAAUCAGUUUAAAGUUUACCUCGGAUGUCACCGGGUUUUCGUGAUUGUUCCUCGGCGGUUUACUUUGCGCUUUACAUAUUUUACAAACUGCAGUCUUAGUGUCAUCUUCAGUCACAGUGACCGAUCGACUUCCACACUCACGACGCGUCGCGUGUGACGUGUGCUGCAUGUGUAAAAUGGACCGGUUCGGUAUUGGGAAUAUAUGAGACUGACCGGCUGGUCUCUGGUCCGGGCGAAGCACGCUAAAAAUGGGCCGAUUUCGGUCCCUGGCCGAUCUGUAGUAACAAGUGAUGAAUAACACAAGUGAGAUACUAAUGUCAUAUUUACUCAUUAUUAAUGAAUCGUGAUGUAUCUUUUAUCUGAAAUAGCAACUAUAUUUGUUCAUAAUUUGUACUUCAGUAGUAACAGAAUUAUUGCUAAGUAUUUUGGUCCUGUCAAGUAAAUUGUUACCAAAAAAGAGAAAAAAAAUGACCUUAUAUGUUUCGUAAGCACAUGGUUUAUAAUUCUCUUGUACUGUUUUGAACUAUUGCAGUACAAAACAUAUCUGAUUGCAAAUUAUCCCUUCAUUAUCCGAAAUCUACCUAAUCUCUGAUAAGUACAGCAGCUGUAUCUGUACCAAUAAAUCUCCUGGCUCACUGCUCAGCUCUGCAA